CAGAUGUGACUGCAGUAAACCAGAACAUCACUCGAGCUCAGUGGAGCAUUGAUGAAUACUGCCCCAAAGUAAAUAACGUUUUAAAGAAAUCGUGUAGACAUUGUCAGGAGGGCUGGAGAUUCAUCAUCAAGUCCAGCUGCUAUCUGAUUAAUAACACUGGUCAUUCUGAUCAGAAAACCUGGGAAGAAGCUCAAGAAGACUGCAGAGCACGGGGUUCAGAUUUGGUUGUUGUAGAUGAUGAAGAUGAAAAGGAUGCACUCAGUUAUUUUAGACAGUACACAGACUGGUUCUGGAUUGGCCUGAGAGCUGAAGGAGGGAGAUGGAAGUGGAUUGAUGGAAGUGAUCCAAC
Long non-coding RNA from Perca flavescens (yellow perch), 349 nucleotides. RefSeq lists it as uncharacterized. NCBI's taxonomy places the organism in Eukaryota, Metazoa, Chordata, Actinopteri, Perciformes, Percidae. The transcript is spliced from 3 exons. The record is from RefSeq and is a predicted model, not a curated record.